CUAGGCUCACAGAGGCGAUGAAGGACGUGAUAAGCUGCGAUAAGCUUCGGGUAGGUGCAAAUAACCUUUGAUCCGAGGAUUUCCGAAUGGGACAACCCAUACAUUUGAAGAAUGUAUAUCUCUACCUAAGGUAGAGAGGCAAACCGAGGGAACUGAAACAUCUUAGUACCUCGAGGAAGAGAAAAUAAACUAAUGAUUCCCCCAGUAGUGGCGAGCGACCGGGGAAUAGCCCAAACCGUCGUUGUUUCGGCAUCGGC
This 257-nucleotide ribosomal RNA is filed under the name Segatella bryantii. RNAcentral describes it as "Prevotella bryantii partial 23S ribosomal RNA". It matches the Rfam family "Bacterial large subunit ribosomal RNA", at positions 32 to 293 of the family's 2925-position model. The record is from RNAcentral. Lineage: Bacteria; Pseudomonadati; Bacteroidota; Bacteroidia; Bacteroidales; Prevotellaceae.